GUGAGGAAUUUUCCGCAAUGGGCGAAAGCCUGACGGAGCAAUGCCGCGUGAAGGAUGAAGGCCUAUGGGUUGUAAACUUCUUUUCUCAGAAAAGAAUUAUGACGGUAUCUGAGGAAUAAGCAUCGGCUAACUCUGUGCCAGCAGCCGCGGUAAGACAGAGGAUGCAAGCGUUAUCCGGAAUGAUUGGGCGUAAAGCGUCUGUAGGUUGUUUAAAAAGUAUUCUGUCAAAGAUUAGGGCUUAACCCUAGAUAGGCAGAAUAAACUUUUAAGCUAGAGUUUGGUAGUGGCAGAGGGAAUUCCCGGUGGAGCGGUGAAAUGCGUAGAUAUCGGGAGGAACACCAAAGGCGAAGGCACUCUGCUGGGCCAAUACUAACACUGAGAGACGAAAGCGAGGGGAGCAAAUGGGAUUAGAAACCCGAGUAGUCC
This 426-nucleotide ribosomal RNA is filed under the name uncultured bacterium. RNAcentral's name for it is "bacterial SSU rRNA". It matches the Rfam family "Bacterial small subunit ribosomal RNA", at positions 354 to 796 of the family's 1533-position model. The record is from RNAcentral.